GGGGAAUAUUGCACAAUGGGGGAAACCCUGAUGCAGCGACGCCGCGUGAGUGAAGAAGUAUUUCGGUAUGUAAAGCUCUAUCAGCAGGGAAGAAAAUGACGGUACCUGACUAAGAAGCCCCGGCUAACUACGUGCCAGCAGCCGCGGUAAUACGUAGGGGGCAAGCGUUAUCCGGAUUUACUGGGUGUAAAGGGAGCGUAGGUGGCAUAUCAAGUCAGAUGUGAAAGCCCGGGGCUCAACCCCGGGAUUGCAUUUGAAACUGGUUUGCUAGAGUGCAGGAGAGGUAAGUGGAAUUCCUAGUGUAGCGGUGAAAUGCGUAGAUAUUAGGAGGAACACCAGUGGCGAAGGCGGCUUACUGGACUGUAACUGACACUGAGGCUCGAAAGCGUGGGGGGCAAAC
This 400-nucleotide ribosomal RNA is filed under the name uncultured bacterium. Its description in RNAcentral is "bacterial SSU rRNA". It matches the Rfam family "Bacterial small subunit ribosomal RNA", at positions 356 to 773 of the family's 1533-position model. The record is from RNAcentral.